AUUGAACGCUGGCGGCAUGCUUUACACAUGCAAGUCGAACGGCAGCGCGGGCUUCGGCCUGGCGGCGAGUGGCGAACGGGUGAGUAAUGCAUCGGAACGUGCCCAGUAGUGGGGGAUAGCCCGGCGAAAGCCGGAUUAAUACCGCAUACGACCUGAGGGUGAAAGCGGGGGACCGAAAGGCCUCGCGCUAUUGGAGCGGCCGAUGUCGGAUUAGCUAGUUGGUGGGGUAAAGGCUUACCAAGGCGACGAUCCGUAGCUGGUCUGAGAGGACGACCAGCCAACCUGGGACUGGGAAACGGCCCAGACUCCUACGGGAGGCAGCAGUGGGGAAUUUUGGAAAAUGGGGGCAACCCUGAUCCAGCCAUGCCGCGGGCGGGAAGAAGGCCUUCGGGUUGUAAACCGCUUUUGUUCGGGAAGAAAUCCUCUGGGCUAAUACCCCGGGGGGAUGACGGUACCGGAAGAAUAAGCACCGGCUAACUACGU
This 483-nucleotide ribosomal RNA is filed under the name uncultured bacterium. Its description in RNAcentral is "partial 16S ribosomal RNA". It matches the Rfam family "Bacterial small subunit ribosomal RNA", at positions 29 to 506 of the family's 1533-position model. The record is from RNAcentral.